ACGUAGUCGAAGGAUUUGAGUCAUUUACUCUUUACCCUUGGAAUUCCAAAACUCAAAAUCGGUUUGAGCAAUUGAUCCCAAGACCGUUUCAUAUUAAAUCACAAUCAAGUUUUCAUUAGUUUUUCUAUUUCUACGUGUUAUUUGAUUUCAAAAACCAACCCAUUCACAAACAACAAUUUUUAUUUUCUCUUUGGAAACAUUUUAUUUGUUCCUUUUGUGAGCAAUAGAGAGGGCAAUUCUGUCUUUUUACAAUUGUUUACACAACUCCUUGUGGAAUCGACCUCGUACAACCGAGUUAUACUACUCCGCCGACCUAAUCUUGGGGUUAUACUCAAGCGCACGUUGGGCGUGAGUCA
This 356-nucleotide long non-coding RNA is filed under the name Actinidia chinensis (golden kiwifruit). RNAcentral describes it as "long non-coding RNA (ACHI_LNC003812)". The record is from RNAcentral. Lineage: Eukaryota; Viridiplantae; Streptophyta; Magnoliopsida; Ericales; Actinidiaceae.